GAUGAACGCUGGCGGCGUGCCUAAUACAUGCAAGUCGAGCGAACAGACGAGGAGCUUGCUCCUCUGACGUUAGCGGCGGACGGGUGAGUAACACGUGGAUAACCUACCUAUAAGACUGGGAUAACUUCGGGAAACCGGAGCUAAUACCGGAUAAUAUAUUGAACCGCAUGGUUCAAUAGUGAAAGACGGUUUUGCUGUCACUUAUAGAUGGAUCCGCGCCGCAUUAGCUGGUUGGUAAGGUAACGGCUUACCAAGGCAACGAUGCGUAGCCGACCUGAGAGGGUGAUCGGCCACACUGGAACUGAGACACGGUCCAGACUCCUACGGGAGGCAGCAGUAGGGAAUCUUCCGCAAUGGGCGAAAGCUUGACGGAGCAACGCCGCGUGAGUGAUGAAGGUCUUCGGAUCGUAAAACUCUGUUAUUAGGGAAGAACAAAUGUGUAAGUAACUAUGCACGUCUUGACGGUACCUAAUCAGAAAGCCACGGCUAACUACGUG
RNAcentral lists this ribosomal RNA (497 nucleotides) under uncultured bacterium. RNAcentral's name for it is "partial 16S ribosomal RNA". It matches the Rfam family "Bacterial small subunit ribosomal RNA", at positions 28 to 507 of the family's 1533-position model. The record is from RNAcentral.